Molecule: unclassified non-coding RNA, 395 nt
Filed under: soil metagenome
Description: partial contains 5.8S ribosomal RNA, internal transcribed spacer 2, and large subunit ribosomal RNA
Rfam family: 5.8S ribosomal RNA (bases 1-121)
Source: RNAcentral
GAUGAAGAACGUAGCGAACGUGCGAAACGUAAUGUGAAUUGCAGAAUUCAGUGAAUCAUCGAAUCUUUGAACGCAUCUUGCGCUCCUUGGUAUUCCGAGGAGCAUGCCUGUUUGGGUGUCGUGAAUACUCUCAACUUCAACCCUUUUUUCGGAAAGGGAGGAAGGUUGGACUUGGGUGUUUGUUGAAGUGCGAGCUUCGACUCAUCCUAAAUGCAUUAGCGAUCUGCCUCGAUCACACACAAUGUGAUAAUUAAAACUAAAGCAUUGUUUAAUGAUCAAGUCGAGACUGCUUCUAACUGUCGCAAGACAAUAACGUGCAUACAUUUGUGCAUGUCAUUUGACCUCAAAUCAGGUAGGACUACCCGCUGAACUUAAGCAUAUCAAUAAGCGGAGGA